This 579-nucleotide ribosomal RNA is filed under the name uncultured bacterium. RNAcentral describes it as "partial 16S ribosomal RNA". It matches the Rfam family "Bacterial small subunit ribosomal RNA", at positions 355 to 926 of the family's 1533-position model. The record is from RNAcentral.
UGGGGAAUUUUGGACAAUGGGCGAAAGCCUGAUCCAGCAAUGCCGCGUGUGUGAAGAAGGCCUUCGGGUUGUAAAGCACUUUUGUCCGGAAAGAAAUCCUUGGCUCUAAUACAGUCGGGGGAUGACGGUACCGGAAGAAUAAGCACCGGCUAACUACGUGCCAGCAGCCGCGGUAAUACGUAGGGUGCAAGCGUUAAUCGGAAUUACUGGGCGUAAAGCGUGCGCAGGCGGUUUGCUAAGACCGAUGUGAAAUCCCCGGGCUCAACCUGGGAACUGCAUUGGUGACUGGCAGGCUAGAGUAUGGCAGAGGGGGGUAGAAUUCCACGUGUAGCAGUGAAAUGCGUAGAGAUGUGGAGGAAUACCGAUGGCGAAGGCAGCCCCCUGGGCCAAUACUGACGCUCAUGCACGAAAGCGUGGGGAGCAAAACAGGAUUAGAUACCCUGGUAGUCCACGCCCUAAACGAUGUCAACUAGUUGUUGGGGAUUCAUUUCCUUAGUAACGUAGCUAACGCGUGAAGUUGACCGCCUGGGGAGUACGGUCGCAAGAUUAAAACUCAAAUGAAUUGACGGGGUCAUAGCU